This 377-nucleotide unclassified non-coding RNA is filed under the name soil metagenome. Its description in RNAcentral is "partial contains 5.8S ribosomal RNA, internal transcribed spacer 2, and large subunit ribosomal RNA". The stretch from base 1 to 120 matches the Rfam family "5.8S ribosomal RNA", at positions 35 to 154 of the family's 154-position model. The record is from RNAcentral.
GAUGAAGAACGCAGCGAAAUGCGAUAAGUAAUGUGAAUUGCAGAAUUCAGUGAAUCAUCGAAUCUUUGAACGCAUCUUGCGCUCCUUGGUAUUCUGAGGAGCAUGCCUGUUUGAGUGUCAUUAAAUUCUCAACUACACUGACUUUGAAUUGGUGUGGCUUGGAUUUGGGGGGGAAAAUUGUUGUGGGCUUUUUGUAUAGUCUGCUCCCCUGAAAUUGAUUAGCGGUACCUUUGUGGAACUGUCUACAGGUGUGAUAAUUAUCUACAUCCUAGACAUCUGCUGGAAUGCUGCUUUCUAAACCUUACUUGUAUUGACAAUCUUGACCUCAAAUCAGGUAAGACUACCCGCUGAACUUAAGCAUAUCAAUAAGCGGAGGA